CAGUGGCUGGAGCAAGAGGAUUUCCACGAAAUUCAUGGACCUCCAAGGCCACUAAUAAUCAAAAGGAGGAACCUUUGGGGUUUGUUUGCUUGGUGGAUAUCAUUCAGAACCAAGUUGAAGACAAUGGCUUGUCAAGCCAACCUGCUCUCCAUGCAUCUUGGAAGACCCCAUUCAGGAGAAUUAAGCGUUGUUUCACACAAUGCUUUAGGAGAAAUUCCAUGGCCUAAGAUCGUGCAUGCUGCAAACACCAACCGAUGAAUGGAUAUAAAGACACCUGCACAGUCAUAUUUUCCUCCUUUUUUCUGUUCUUUUGUUGUGUUUCCAUAAAUGCUUGCAUG
RNAcentral lists this long non-coding RNA (338 nucleotides) under Chinchilla lanigera (long-tailed chinchilla). Its description in RNAcentral is "lncRNA (ENSCLAG00000026844.1)". The record is from RNAcentral. Lineage: Eukaryota; Metazoa; Chordata; Mammalia; Rodentia; Chinchillidae.